UACGGAGGGUGCAAACGUUGCUCGGAAUUAUUGGGGCGUAAAGCGCACGUAGGCGGUCCAGCAAGUCGGGGUGUGAAAAGCCCUCGGCUUAACCGAGGAAGUGCAUUCGAAAACUACUGGACUUGAAUACUGGAGAGGAUCGCGGAAUUCCCGGUGUAGAGGUGAAAUUCGUAGAUAUCGGGAGGAACACCAGUGGCGAAGGCGGCGAUCUGGGACAGAUAUUUGACGCUGAGGUGCGAAAAGCGUGGGGGGAGCAAAACAGG
This 263-nucleotide ribosomal RNA is filed under the name uncultured bacterium. RNAcentral's name for it is "partial 16S ribosomal RNA". It matches the Rfam family "Bacterial small subunit ribosomal RNA", at positions 524 to 776 of the family's 1533-position model. The record is from RNAcentral.